AGGUGGGCAACUGCAAAAGCAGCAAAAUGCUGCCAAUUUUUCUGCAGAAAACCGACCUUAAAAACUGACCUUAUGAGAUGUUGAAAUACAAAUAGGGGCAACGACAUAUUGAUAAUGGCUUUCACUAUUUAGAGGGAGACAGACGGAAGAACAACAGAAAAAGAAGAGAAAAAAGAAGAAGUGCUGUGAUAUUAAUUAGAAGAAGGAUGACAAUACGUGUUAUUAAAUUGUAAAGCCGACUAAUAUAUUUAAAGGUUGUUAACAAUGAAUAACGGAAGUAUCCAAGCCAACCGAUGAUUGCUAACUAUUAUUUGGCAAGAAAAGGUUAUUAGAGUUUUAUUUCAACAAUUCCUAUUGAUUGAACGAAGAGGUAUAUAUCCAAUUUCCUAUACUUUGAGAUAUAAAUCGUAUUUGGUGUAGACGUCCAGUUUCAUAUUCCAUGCUUUAAAUAUUAUGAAUCUGUUGAAAAGAAUCUCCAUAACUUGAUUACGAAGAAGUUGUUUCCAUGGCAUUUUGUAUAAUUGGAAAAAUCGAUGGAAAGGAGGUAUCAUUAGUAUUUUUCAAAGCUUUAAUUGGUGUAUAUAUUCAUAAUAUAUCGAGAUUAGCAUUGUAGCUAAGAAAGCACAUUAUUUUUACAGGUUAUUUUAUCCGAUCUGAUGAUCAAUUGUUCUUUAUCCGAUAUGUUGAGAUGAGACUAGAAUUGCAGCUCUAUGUUUCUUUAUCCGAUCCAUAGUUAGAGACUGUAAUUUCAUGCUGAUAUUAUUUACGCUUAUAUGUUGUUCACUUAUUGGAGACAAAAGAAAAAAGUAGUAGAGAAAGGUCCGUCUCUCCAAGUGUGCACACAAAUCAGGUAAUUACUACUACUAUUACAUAAUUAUUAAGAUUUGUUUGGAUAAAUAUCAUAAAAUAGAACAAGUUUUUAAUGUGAUUAUCAGGUCUAACCCAAGUGAAGCUUAUGUCAUAUGUGUCAGUAGCAAAAUUGCAUAAAAUUGAGCGUGCUAGCUGUAGAAUUUUUGACUAUAUUUAGCAUAAACUCGAUAUAAUCAAAACUAUAACAUAUUUUUUUUGUUACAAACAUUCAUAUGUCUUUCAUUAAUUAAUACACUAUUUCAAGUAAUUGUUGUUAUGCAGGUUUUAGUCUUACUUUAUAGCUUAAUAAGUCCUUUAAAUGAAUGAUGCA
Lycium barbarum (goji berry) is the source of this 1180-nucleotide long non-coding RNA. RefSeq lists it as uncharacterized. NCBI's taxonomy places the organism in Eukaryota, Viridiplantae, Streptophyta, Magnoliopsida, Solanales, Solanaceae. The record is from RefSeq and is a predicted model, not a curated record. The transcript is spliced from 5 exons.